UCGUGUCGUGAGAUGUUCGGUUAAGUCCGCUACGAGCGCAACCCUCGCUGUGUGUUAUAUGUGUCACACAGGACUGCUGGUAUUAAGCCGGAGGAAGGUGGGACGACGUCAAGUCAGCAUGACCUUUAUAUCCAGGGCUACACACACGCUACAAUGGUCAGUACAAUGGGUUGCCAAGCCGCGAGGCGGAGCCAAUCCUAAAAAGCUGGCCUCAGUUCAGAUUGCAGUCUGAAACUCGACUGCAUGAAGUCGGAGUUGCUAGUAAACGCAGGUCAGCUAUACUGCGUUGAAUACGUUCCCGGGGCUU
This 307-nucleotide ribosomal RNA is filed under the name uncultured Anaerolineaceae bacterium. Its description in RNAcentral is "bacterial SSU rRNA". It matches the Rfam family "Bacterial small subunit ribosomal RNA", at positions 1060 to 1382 of the family's 1533-position model. The record is from RNAcentral. Lineage: Bacteria; Bacillati; Chloroflexota; Anaerolineae; Anaerolineales; Anaerolineaceae.